GGGGAUUUAGCUCAGUGGCAUAAGCACCUGCCUUGCAAGCAGGUGGUCAUACGUUUGAUUCCCUG
Transfer RNA from Cavia porcellus (domestic guinea pig), 65 nucleotides. It matches the Rfam family "tRNA". From Rfam's summary of the family: Transfer RNA (tRNA) molecules are approximately 80 nucleotides in length. Their secondary structure includes four short double-helical elements and three loops (D, anti-codon, and T loops). NCBI's taxonomy places the organism in Eukaryota, Metazoa, Chordata, Mammalia, Rodentia, Caviidae. The record is from Rfam.